GUCAAGUCAGCAUGCCUUUAUGUCCUGGGCUACACACACGCUACAAUGGUCAGCACAAUGGUCGCUAAGCCGCAAGGUGGAGCCAAUCCUCAAAGUUGGCCUCAGUUCAGAUUGUAGGCGUGCAACUACCGCCUGCAUGAAGAUGGAGUUGCUAGUAAACGCAGGUCAGCUAUACUGCGUUGAAUACGUUCCCGGGGCUU
RNAcentral lists this ribosomal RNA (200 nucleotides) under uncultured Leptolinea sp. RNAcentral's name for it is "partial 16S ribosomal RNA". It matches the Rfam family "Bacterial small subunit ribosomal RNA", at positions 1184 to 1382 of the family's 1533-position model. The record is from RNAcentral. Lineage: Bacteria; Bacillati; Chloroflexota; Anaerolineae; Anaerolineales; Anaerolineaceae.